RNAcentral lists this unclassified non-coding RNA (1373 nucleotides) under uncultured Neocallimastigales. RNAcentral's name for it is "partial contains small subunit ribosomal RNA, internal transcribed spacer 1, 5.8S ribosomal RNA, internal transcribed spacer 2, and large subunit ribosomal RNA". The stretch from base 618 to 1373 matches the Rfam family "Eukaryotic large subunit ribosomal RNA", at positions 1 to 628 of the family's 3401-position model. Lineage: Eukaryota; Fungi; Neocallimastigomycota; Neocallimastigomycetes; Neocallimastigales. The record is from RNAcentral.
UUUCCGUAGGUGAACUGCGGAAGGAUCAUUAAUAAAUGGCUCCUGAUUUGGAGCGCUUAAUAAUCCUACCCUUUGUGAAUUUGUUGUUUGAAAUAAUUUUUUUUAAAAUUAUUGAUUGUCUUUCCCUGUUGAAUUGGAGCGUUUUCGGACGUAAAGAUUCGCAGGGAUAGUCAGUAAUUUUUAAAAAAGACUUUUUUUUAAAUUAAACUUUUGUGUGUAUUCAUUUGUCUAAAAUUAUUUUUAUAAUAUAAAAACAACUUUUGACAAUGGAUCUCUUGGUUCUCGCAACGAUGAAGAACGCAGCAAAAUGCGAUAAGUAGUGUGAAUUGCAGAAUACGUGAAUCAUCGAAUCUUCGAACGCAUAUUGCACUUUUUUAGUUUACUAAAAAAGUAUGUCUGUUUGAGUAUCAGUAAAAUAUUCUCAUAAAAACUUUUUUUUUUAUGGUUAUGAGUGUUUACAACGAUAACAAGUUGUUUCACUUUAAAUUUUUGUUUAAAAUAUUAAAGCUUUUUUUAAUUUUUUAAAAUUGGAUAAAAUUUUCCCGUAAAAAGGAAUAACCUAAACAAUUUUAAAUUAUUAGAAAAAAUCAUUUUAAAAGGAAAAAAACGAAAUAACUUGAUCUCAAAUCAGAUAAGAUACCGCUGAACUUAAGCAUAUCAAUAAGCGGAGGAAAAGAAACUAACUAGGAUUCCUAGUAACGCGAGUGAGCGGGAAGAGCUCAAAUUUGAAAUCUUCAAGGUUUUACCUUGACGAAUUGUAGUUUAAAGAAGUGUUUUCUGUUGAGUUUUGGUAAAAGUUCUUUGGAAAGGACAUCAUAGAGGGUGAGAAUCCCGUAUUUGACCAUUAUCUCAGCUUGUGAUACACUUUCAAAGAGUCGGAUUGUUUGGGAAUGCAGUCCAAAAUGGGUGGUAAAUUCAUCUAAAGCUAAAUAUGGCGAGAGACCGAUAGCGAACAAGUACCGUGAGGGAAAGAUGAAAAGAACUUUGAAAGAGAGUUAAACAGUACGUGAAAUUGUCAAAAGGGAAGCGUUUGACACCAGUGUUGUUUUCUCGAAAUCAAUUAAAAAGGCUGGAUUUUGUGUUGUAUUGACCUUAACAGCUUUCUUCACUCUUUUCCUGUCUUUUUUAAUGCACUUUUCGUUUAACAAGUCAACAUCAUUUCUUUUGUUGUAAAAGGGUCAUUGGAAGGUGGCUUUCUUUUCGGAGAAAGUGUUUAUAGCCUUUGAUCUCUGCAAUCGGAGAGACUGAGGUCUGCAGCGUAGACUCUUCGGGUUAGAUACAUUUGUGCUAAUUAUAGCUUUUAUAGACAACUUGUUGACUAUAUUAGUCUGUAGCUUACUCGCUUAUGCUAUUUUACUACGCUUAGGAUGUUG